This 372-nucleotide ribosomal RNA is filed under the name uncultured organism. Its description in RNAcentral is "bacterial SSU rRNA". It matches the Rfam family "Bacterial small subunit ribosomal RNA", at positions 526 to 896 of the family's 1533-position model. The record is from RNAcentral.
CGUAGGUGGCAAGCGUUGUCCGGAAUUACUGGGUGUAAAGGGCGUGUAGGCGGGAGAAUAAGUCAGAUGUGAAAUACCGAAGCUCAACUUCGGGGCUGCAUUUGAAACUGUUCUUCUUGAGUGCAGGAGAGGAAAGUGGAAUUCCUAGUGUAGCGGUGAAAUGCGUAGAUAUUAGGAGGAACACCAGUGGCGAAGGCGACUUUCUGGACUGUAACUGACGCUGAGGCGCGAAAGCGUGGGUAGCAAACAGGAUUAGAUACCCUGGUAGUCCACGCCGUAAACGAUGGAUACUAGGUGUUGGGGGUAUCGACCCCUCCAGUGCCGGAGUUAACACAAUAAGUAUCCCACCUGGGGAGUACGGCCGCAAGGUUG